RNAcentral lists this ribosomal RNA (301 nucleotides) under uncultured bacterium. RNAcentral describes it as "partial 16S ribosomal RNA". It matches the Rfam family "Bacterial small subunit ribosomal RNA", at positions 509 to 807 of the family's 1533-position model. The record is from RNAcentral.
CAGCCGCCGCGGUAAUACCGAGGGUGCGAGCGUUAAUCGGAUUUACUGGGCGUAAAGCGUGCGUAGGCGGCUAAUUGAGUCGGAUGUGAAAUCCCCGAGCUUAACUUGGGAAUUGCAUUCGAUACUGGUUAGCUAGAGUGUGGGAGAGGAUGGUAGAAUUCCAGGUGUAGCGGUGAAAUGCGUAGAGAUCUGGAGGAAUACCGAUGGCGAAGGCAGCCAUCUGGCCUAACACUGACGCUGAGGUACGAAAGCAUGGGGAGCAAACAGGAUUAGAUACCCCUGUAGUCCCUGUCUCUUAUAC